This 406-nucleotide ribosomal RNA is filed under the name uncultured bacterium. Its description in RNAcentral is "bacterial SSU rRNA". It matches the Rfam family "Bacterial small subunit ribosomal RNA", at positions 355 to 776 of the family's 1533-position model. The record is from RNAcentral.
UGAGGAAUUUUGGACAAUGGGGGCAACCCUGAUCCAGCCAUUCCGCGUGAGUGAAGAAGGCCUUCGGGUUGUAAAGCUCUUACUAAUACUAGGAGUCCAUGACGGUACCGUAAGAAUAAGCACCGGCUAACUACGUGCCAGCAGCCGCGGUAAUACGUAGGGUGCGAGCGUUAAUCGGAAUUACUGGGCGUAAAGCGUGCGCAGGCGGUUAUAUAAGACAGAUGUGAAAUCCCCGGGCUCAACCUGGGAACUGCAUUUGUGACUGUAUAGCUAGAGUGCGGCAGAGGGGGAUGGAAUUCCGCGUGUAGCAGUGAAAUGCGUAGAUAUGCGGAGGAACACCGAUGGCGAAGGCAAUCCCCUGGGCCUGCACUGACGCUCAUGCACGAAAGCGUGGGGAGCAAACAGG